Molecule: ribosomal RNA, 492 nt
Filed under: uncultured bacterium
Lineage: Bacteria
Description: partial 16S ribosomal RNA
Rfam family: Bacterial small subunit ribosomal RNA
Source: RNAcentral
AUUGAACGCUGGCGGCAUGCUUUACACAUGCAAGUCGAACGGUAACAGGCCUUCGGGUGCUGACGAGUGGCGAACGGGCGAGUAAUGCAUCGGUACGUACCCAGAGGUGGGGGAUAACGCAGCGACAGCUGUGCUAAUACCGCAUGUGAUCUGAGGAUGAAAGCGGGGGACCGAGCAGCAAUGUUUGGCCUCGCGCCUUUGGAGCGGCCGAUGUGGGAUUAGCUAGUUGGUGGGUUAAUGGCCUAGCCAGGCGACGAUCCGUAGCUGGUCUGAGAGGACGACCAGCGACACGAGAGGUGAGACACGGCCAAGGGGCCUGCGGGAGGGAGCAGUGGGGAAUGUUGGGCAGUAGGCGCGAGCCUUAUCCAACAAGGGCACGUGCGAGGAAGAGGCGUUGCGGGUGUGAACCGGUUUUUGCAGGAACAAAACGGUGUCCGCUAAGACCGAGCGCUAAUGACGGUAACUGCAGAAUAAGCACCGGCUAACUACGUG